GCUGAAUCAUGAAAAGAUUGUAGAAGCUUUAAAGAUGAACUUAUUUCUAAGACAGCUUAGGUUCCAAAAAAAGAGAAUAGAGGUCCAAUUAAGAUUUCUACCAAUAAUCUUGAUCAAAUCACUAAAGUAGAAACUUUUCUUAAAAAAAUUAUUGAAUAUCUAGAAUAGGUUGAGAAACCAAAGGACUGUAUGGAAUAUUCUCUCAACCUUAAAGAAACUCAGACUAAUAGCCUUCUAAAAGAAUUUGAAGUUGAUCGGGAUAAUGCUGAUAAUUCAUUAAUAAAGAUUGGUAAUUUUUCCAUAAAGAUUGAUAAUAUAUCCAAUC
This 325-nucleotide long non-coding RNA is filed under the name Elaeis guineensis (African oil palm). RNAcentral describes it as "long non-coding RNA (EGUI_LNC045737)". Lineage: Eukaryota; Viridiplantae; Streptophyta; Magnoliopsida; Arecales; Arecaceae. The record is from RNAcentral.